AACAGAGUAUUUUCACAGUGUAAUAUUAGUACUUUUACUUAAAGGAAAGGAUCUAAAUAUUUCUUCCACCACUGCAGACCAGACAUUAGCCUUGUCCUCGGUGAAAUGCUCUACUCCCUUAAUGCAAUCCUUACAUAUAUCCCAAACGAACCAGAGAAGAAAUAAGGCAACAGUCCACACGUGCAGCUUUGAAACACAUAGGUAUAUUUUCGAAUUUUCAGGUCCAACGGAACAAACGUGACAUCCUCAUGUGUGAGGUUUUCAUGCAACAGAAAAAAAUAGGAAGGAAGAAAAGGGAUGUUAGGAAGGAAGGAAGGAAGAAAGAAAGCAAGCAGGGGUAUUUAUCCAACACAAGGUACCAGUUCAUCAGAGGCAGUGAAUAAUAGAAAAGGGUUAAAUGGUAGUAGAUCAGGGAGGGAGUAGCAACUGGUGUUCCUUAUGCUACCAGCAGAAGGCAGUGACACCAUAGGAUUCCCAAAAGCAGCGGCAGAAAUGUUUGGUACGAGUUGACAUAACCCUUGCGUUGUCCUCCGUCUGUUUCACCUGCUUAUCUCCCAAUUCUGCGUUAGGCCUACAUCUUCUUAGCCAACUUCAUUCCAACUUGUCACUAGUUUUACACUUCUUGUUGGAAAUCAUGGUCAACAAACCUCAUUUAGUUAAAAAAAAGAAAUUCUAAAAAAACAUAAUCACAGACGGGUUUACUGUAUGUCAAAGUGUAGUCAGUAUAUCGUUACUGUUUUGAAACCAUUUCAUUUUUUUGGAUCCAUUCAUGUUAUAUUUGGGUACUUUGGUUAAAAGAAACCCAAAUUUACGCUAUAUAGAAACUUUAAAAACGGGUCACGUUUGACCCGAGGACAACAGGAGGGUUAAGGUCAGUCCUACUGUCAUGUGGAUGCCGCUGCACCAGCACAGCUCUCAUUGGUAGUUCACUUUGCCACUAUAAUUCAAUUUGUGAGGUAGUGAAAUGUUGGGCAAACACACACACACACACACACA
This is a long non-coding RNA of Sander lucioperca (pikeperch), 996 nucleotides long. RefSeq lists it as uncharacterized. Lineage: Eukaryota; Metazoa; Chordata; Actinopteri; Perciformes; Percidae. The transcript is spliced from 2 exons. The record is from RefSeq and is a predicted model, not a curated record.